CGCACGGUGGAGAAGGCUGGUCAUCUCGUGAGCGUCGUGAGCUUAAGAUCGCAGGUUCAAAUCCUGCCCGUGCUA
Molecule: transfer RNA, 75 nt
Filed under: Caudoviricetes sp.
Lineage: Duplodnaviria; Heunggongvirae; Uroviricota; Caudoviricetes
Description: tRNA-Thr
Rfam family: tRNA
About the family: Transfer RNA (tRNA) molecules are approximately 80 nucleotides in length. Their secondary structure includes four short double-helical elements and three loops (D, anti-codon, and T loops). Further hydrogen bonds mediate the characteristic L-shaped molecular structure. tRNAs have two regions of fundamental functional importance: the anti-codon, which is responsible for specific mRNA codon recognition, and the 3' end, to which the tRNAs corresponding amino acid is attached (by aminoacyl-tRNA synthetases). tRNAs cope with the degeneracy of the genetic code in two manners: having more than one tRNA (with a specific anti-codon) for a particular amino acid; and 'wobble' base-pairing, i.e. permitting non-standard base-pairing at the 3rd anti-codon position.
Source: RNAcentral